RNAcentral lists this ribosomal RNA (497 nucleotides) under uncultured bacterium. RNAcentral's name for it is "partial 16S ribosomal RNA". It matches the Rfam family "Bacterial small subunit ribosomal RNA", at positions 337 to 862 of the family's 1533-position model. The record is from RNAcentral.
CCNUACGGGAGGCAGCAGUGGGGAUUNUUGGCCAAUGGGCGCAAGCCUGAUCCANCCANCCGGGGGAGUGAAGAAGCCUNUAGGGUUGUAAAGCUCUUUCACCCGCGAAGAUGAUGCCGUUAGCGGGAGAAGAAGCCCCGGCUAACUCCGUCCCACCANCCGGGGUAAUACGGAGGGGNGAGCGUUCUNAUUUACUGGGNGUAAAGGGGGCGUAGGCGGAUGUUCGGUUCAGAGGUGAAAGCCCCGGGCUCANCCUGGGAANUGCNUUUGAAACGGGACAUCUUGAGUUNGGGAGAGGGUAGCGGAAUUCCCAGUGUAGAGGUGAAAUUCGUAGAUNUUGGGAAGAACCCCGGUGGGGAAGGCGNCUNCCUGGCCCGAUACUGACGGAGGCGAAAGCGUGGGGAGCAAACAGGAUUAGAUACCCNGGUAGUCCACCCCGUAAAGNUGGUGCGUUGGCCGUCGGGGUUCUUCGCUUCGGUGCCGCAGUUAANACNCNC